Long non-coding RNA from Pongo pygmaeus (Bornean orangutan), 704 nucleotides. RefSeq lists it as uncharacterized. The record is from RefSeq and is a predicted model, not a curated record. The transcript is spliced from 4 exons. Lineage: Eukaryota; Metazoa; Chordata; Mammalia; Primates; Hominidae.
AUUCCUGGGGAAGCCAGCUACCAUGUUUGAGGCUACUCAAUGAGUCCUAGGAGAGGUCCAUGUGGUAUGGAGUGGAGGCCUCUUUCCAACAGCCAGUGAGGAACUGAGGCCUUGCACCAACAGCAUGCCAUGCUAUGGAGAUUGCACAAUGGACCUAUUGCUUCAAAGGAGAGUCACACAACACUCCUCAGCCACUGUGUUGACAGCCCUGGGCUGGAGGAAAGGCAGCAGUCUUCACAGAGCUCACUUUACGGCCGGGCUCACCCUUCACCCCAAGACAGCUUUGAUCACUGGGAAGUUUCCACAAACACAGAAUGAAUGAGGAAGAAGGUGGUUAGAUUUUCAGUGUGAUCCACGUGGACAAGAGAUGUUGCAUGUUUUUACAAAUUGAAGGUCUGUGGCAACCCUGGGUCAAGCAAGUCUAUCAGUGCCAUUCUUCCAAUACUCUCCUGGGUGCAGUCAAAGCUUCACUCCCUACGCCCUACUGAACUAUCAGCUGACUGAUUCCCACUUGUCCAUGCCCCAGGACCCCACAGAAGCUCCACAUGCUUCCACAAGCUGAUGCACCAGUUCCAAGAGGAGGAAGAAAAGCUGGCACUCAGCCUCUAUUUCUCCCCAAACUCCACAGUCAUUCAAUUCUGCCAAAAAAAAAAAAAACAAAAACCAUUGCUUUGAAAAACAUAAAAUCAGAUCUAUCAAACAGC